CCAGACUCCUAGGGAGGCAGCAGUGGGGAAUAUUGGACAAUGGACCAAGAGUCUGAUCCAGCAAUUCUGUGUGCACGAUGAAGUUUUUCGGAAUGUAAAGUGCUUUCAGUUGGGAAGAAAAAAAUGACGGUACCAACAGAAGAAGUGACGGCUAAAUACGUGCCAGCAGCCGCGGUAAUACGUAUGUCACAAGCGUUAUCCGGAUUUAUUGGGCGUAAAGCGCGUCUAGGUGGUUAUAUAAGUCUGAUGUGAAAAUGCAGGGCUCAACUCUGUAUUGCGUUGGAAACUGUGUAACUAGAGUACUGGAGAGGUAAGCGGAACUACAAGUGUAGAGGUGAAAUUCGUAGAUAUUUGUAGGAAUGCCGAUGGGGAAGCCAGCUUACUGGACAGAUACUGACGCUGAAGCGCGAAAGCGUGGGUAGCAAACAGGAUUAGAUACCCUGGUAGUCCACGCCGUAAACGAUGAUUACUAGGUGUUGGGGGUCGAACCUCAGCGCCCAAGCAAACGCGAUAAGUAAUCCGCCUGGGGAGUACGUACGCAAGUAUGAAACUCAAAGGAAUUGACGGGGGCCCGCACAAG
This 580-nucleotide ribosomal RNA is filed under the name uncultured bacterium. RNAcentral describes it as "bacterial SSU rRNA". It matches the Rfam family "Bacterial small subunit ribosomal RNA", at positions 331 to 929 of the family's 1533-position model. The record is from RNAcentral.